This 301-nucleotide ribosomal RNA is filed under the name uncultured bacterium. RNAcentral's name for it is "partial 16S ribosomal RNA". It matches the Rfam family "Bacterial small subunit ribosomal RNA", at positions 509 to 807 of the family's 1533-position model. The record is from RNAcentral.
CAGCAGCCGCGGUAAUACGUAGGUGGCAAGCGUUGUCCGGAAUUAUUGGGCGUAAAGCGCGCGCAGGUGGUUUAAUAAGUCUGAUGUGAAAGCCCACGGCUCAACCGUGGAGGGUCAUUGGAAACUGGGAAACUUGAGUGCAGAAGAGGAGAGUGGAAUUCCACGUGUAGCGGUGAAAUGCGUAGAGAUGUGGAGGAACACCAGUGGCGAAGGCGACUCUCUGGCCUGUAACUGACGCUGAGGAGCGAAAGCGUGGGGAGCGAACAGGAUUAGAUACCCCGGUAGUCCCUGUCUCUUAUAC